This 460-nucleotide ribosomal RNA is filed under the name uncultured bacterium. Its description in RNAcentral is "partial 16S ribosomal RNA". It matches the Rfam family "Bacterial small subunit ribosomal RNA", at positions 338 to 795 of the family's 1533-position model. The record is from RNAcentral.
CCUACGGGAGGCAGCAGUGAGGAAUAUUGGUCAAUGGCCGGAAGGCUGAACCAGCCAUGCCGCGUGAAGGUCAGUGCCCUUUGGGCGUUAAACUUCUUUUGUGCGGGAGCAAUAAUGGUCACGUGUGGCCAGACGAGAGUACCGUACGAAUAAGCAUCGGCUAACUCCGUGCCAGCAGCCGCGGUAAUACGGGGGAUGCAAGCGUUAUCCGGAUUUAUUGGGUUUAAAGGGUGCGUAGGCUGGGAGGUAAGUCAGCGGGGAAAUGCCCCCGCUCAACGGGGUGAAGUGCCAUUGAUACUGGCUUGCUGGAGUGCGGAGGCCGUGGGAGGAAUGUGUGGUGUAGCGGUGAAAUGCAUAGAUAUCACACAGAACACCGAUUGCGAAGGCAUCUCACGAAUCCGCGAUUGACGCUGAUGCACGAAAGCGUGGGUAUCAAACAGGAUUAGAUACCCCAGUAGUC